CAGGCCAUUUGCAAGAGCAACUCUGUGCCUGCAGCAGCUGCCUCUCGGGGGGUAAAUGCUAGAGAAGAGCUGGGCCUGUGGAGCUGUGUUAACUGGCAUUUCAAAGACUUGUAGAGAAUCUGUAAGUCCAUUCAGAGACCAAAGGGAGCACGCUGUUGCUGGAAAAAGAGAGGAGGUUCAAAGACAAGGGGCUUCAUGGUGCUGUGAUUCUGUAUGAACACAAAGGUCUCCUUUAGGUACUGCAAAACACCGCUUGCUGUGCCUUUGAUCCUACUGUCCAUGUCACUGACAAAGAGGCUGAACAGCACCAGUCCCAGUAUCAACCCCAAGGAACUCCAGAUGUCACACGUCUCUGCUUGGACCAGUGAGCCCUUGAGAACCACUUCUUCAGCCAGUUCCCUAUCCACUGAGUGGUUCUUCUCACAGAUCCAUCUCUCUCCAGUUCAAGGAUGAGGAUAUCCUGUGGGACAGUAUCAAAUGCUUUGCGCAAGACCAGGAGCCUGUCCCAAGAAAGGAUUCCUGAUGGGAUAUUUCCUGUUCACAUUACUGUCUUUCUCAUGAGAAUCCACUCUCAGACCCCAUGCCUCCUUGUGGACUCUGACAGAUGGUGGCAUCCAACUGGACCCUGACUGAGCAAAGUAAGGAGGAGUCAGUGACAUGAGACGAUACUGGUGGUGCUGGAGUGUGAGGCACAAUCCACAGCCAACACUCAUGUUACAAGAACUGCAACAAGAAAAAAAAGUACUUAUGUGAUUGCUUGUGGCCACUCCA
Long non-coding RNA from Poecile atricapillus (Black-capped chickadee), 771 nucleotides. RefSeq lists it as uncharacterized. The record is from RefSeq and is a predicted model, not a curated record. NCBI's taxonomy places the organism in Eukaryota, Metazoa, Chordata, Aves, Passeriformes, Paridae. The transcript has 4 exons.